Molecule: ribosomal RNA, 468 nt
Filed under: uncultured bacterium
Lineage: Bacteria
Description: partial 16S ribosomal RNA
Rfam family: Bacterial small subunit ribosomal RNA
Source: RNAcentral
GACGAACGCUGGCGGCGUGCUUAACACAUGCAAGUCGAACGGAAAGGCCCUGCUUUUGUGGGGUGCUCGAGUGGCGAACGGGUGAGUAACACGUGAGUAACCUGCCCUUGACUUUGGGAUAACUUCAGGAAACUGGGGCUAAUACCGGAUAGGAGCUCCUGCUGCAUGGUGGGGGUUGGAAAGUUUCGGCGGUUGUGGAUGGACUCGCGGCUUAUCAGCUUGUUGGUGGGGUAGUGGCUUACCAAGGCUUUGACGGGUAGCCGGCCUGAGAGGGUGACCGGCCACAUUGGGACUGAGAUACGGCCCAGACUACUACGGGAGGCAGCAGUGGAGAAUAUUGCACAAUGGGCGGAAGCCUGAUGCAGCAACGCAGCGUGCGGGAUGACGGCCUUCGGGUUGUAAACCGCUUUCGCCUGUGACGAAGCGUGAGUGACGGUAAUGGGUAAAGAAGCACCGGCUAACUACGUG